GAGUUCUCACUCUUGCUCUCUCUAUUCCCUCCAGAGUGAAACCGUAAGUUUUGCGGCAGAAAAGAAAAAGAAGGAGAAGAUAUCAGCAGAAGUUUCUACUGUCGUGGCCAAAGUCUUGCGGGAGACGAAGCCAAUCCCAAACUUGAUUUUCGCAAUAGAACAAUACGAGAAUUUUCUGAUCCAUCUCUCCAAAAAGUCCAAGGUAAAUUUGAUGCAGUAUAUGAAACUGAGUACCUCUCGGGACUUCCGCAUCAACGUCUCGACGGUGGAGAGUGCGCUACAGGAACAGGAUGCAGAUGAUGCUGAGAAUGAACCCGACAAUGACCAGCAUCCCGCUUCGGCGCAGUCGGACACCAGCCAGGAACCCAAGAGGAAGAAGCGACGGAAAAAAUAAGAGCUUUUAUUUGGAUCAAGUUAUGGUUUUGUCCUGACAAAAAACAAAAGUUGUUUCCCCUUUGGGAAUGUUAUCACUGGUGAAUUAUAAAAGUUGCCAGCUUAGUGCCUUAAGUUCCAUGGGAUUCCCUGAAUGCUAACACGACUAUUAGUCUGCUUACAACUGUUCUAUAAUGCACUUGCGGAGCAUAAUUGAAGCGCAGCCCUUCCUUUUUUGGGAAAAGCUGAGAAUUUGCCUUUAAAGUUGAACUCAUUUGUUGGUUUUCCACCUUCCUCUUGAUAUUCUGACAGUGAAAAGAAUCCAACGGAGAAUGGAGCUGGUCGUUGCGUAAAAGUCUGAUAGCGGAAGGAUUUCCUGAGCCAAUAUGUAACAUUUUAGCUUUGAAACAUCUGAAACCCUAUUUUUCUUUCUCCAAGGAGCUUUUGGUGAUUUUGAGGAGUUGGUAUAUAUCCAAAGCAUCACCUGGGGAAGAGAAAGAGAGGAAGAUGUCAUAUUCCUUUCACAUAAAACCUUUUUUGGGGGAGUUUCCCCAAAUUCACACAUUUGUGUUGCACUUCUUACUAAGUGAAUGUCAAUAAACAAACAAGGCUGCAUUGUAAA
This is a non-coding RNA of Anolis sagrei ordinatus, 994 nucleotides long. Lineage: Eukaryota; Metazoa; Chordata; Lepidosauria; Squamata; Anolidae. The record is from RefSeq and is a predicted model, not a curated record.